ACGUCCCCUCACCUGCAAGAUGGAGAACUCCCAGCUCCUUCUCCUGCACCACAUCUGCCCGCACACCUCCAUGUCCCACCAUGACGAUGACAACUGAGCCUCUGAACUGUAAACAUAUACGCACCAAGAAAGCUGUGGGAUGAAGAGAAACUUCUAUUGCUGAUAGCUCCCAGCUGGGACGGGCAGAGUGUCCCCUGGACUACUAAGGUGUGGAGAAUAAAGGACAGACGCACACAUGGUGUCAUGGAUGUGAUGCUGUAAGAAGCUGGAGAGGAAGAGGGAGGUCCCGUGGAGCCGCUGGGGCAAAGUCCAAGCCAGCUCGCCAAAGGGGGCCAGUCUUUUCCAGCCAACCCGAGCACCUGAAGAGCAAUAGAACCCUUGCAGUUCGUCUGGGAUUGGCAGCGUAGCGUGGACUGUGGCACUAGAGUCCCUGAGACCGUCCUUGGCAUAGCGGGACAAGGAAAUGAUUCCUCCCGGGCUGGACUGGGCCUGGAGAACCUCCCUGAUGCUGGGUGUUACCCUGCGGCAGCUCCUGCCUACAACCUGGAAAGGUACCAUAAAAACAGAUGAAAGCCAGAGGUUCUGGGCAGCGAUUUAAGGAAACAACUU
Molecule: long non-coding RNA, 609 nt
Organism: Mesocricetus auratus (golden hamster)
Lineage: Eukaryota; Metazoa; Chordata; Mammalia; Rodentia; Cricetidae
Exons: 4
Source: RefSeq, a predicted model, not a curated record